Molecule: ribosomal RNA, 516 nt
Filed under: uncultured Bacteroidota bacterium
Lineage: Bacteria; Pseudomonadati; Bacteroidota
Description: bacterial SSU rRNA
Rfam family: Bacterial small subunit ribosomal RNA
Source: RNAcentral
ACGGCUUACCAAGGCUACAAUAGAUAGGGGGUUUGAGAGAAUGAUCCUCCACACUGGUACUGAGAUACGGACCAGACUCCUACGGGAGGCAGCAGUAAGGAAUAUUCGGCAAUGGGCGCAAGCCUGACCGAGUCAUGCCGCGUGUGGGAAGAAGGUCUUCGGAUUGUAAACCACUUUUGUAUAGGAAUAAUUAGAUCACGUGUGGUCAAAAUGAAGGUACUAUAAGAAUAAGCACCGGCUAACUCCGUGCCAGCAGCCGCGGUAAUACGGAGGGUGCAAGCGUUAUCCGAAUUCAUUGGGUUUAAAGCGUACGCAGGCGGUUAUAUAAGUUAGUAGUUAAAGGCAGUAGCUUAACUACUUGCAUGCUAUUAAUACUGUAUAACUUGAGUCUUUUAGGAGUGAGUAGAAUUCGUAGUGGAAGAGUGAAAUCUGUAGAGACUACGAAGAAUACCGAAAGCGAAAGCAACUCACUAAGAAACGACUGACGCUAAUGUACGAAAGCGUGGGUAGCGAACA